RNAcentral lists this ribosomal RNA (329 nucleotides) under uncultured bacterium. RNAcentral's name for it is "bacterial SSU rRNA". It matches the Rfam family "Bacterial small subunit ribosomal RNA", at positions 588 to 916 of the family's 1533-position model. The record is from RNAcentral.
UCAGAUGUGAAAUCCCCGGGCUUAACCUGGGAACUGCAUUUGAAACUGGUCAACUAGAGUAUGGUAGAGGAAAGUGGAAUUUCUGGUGUAGCGGUGAAAUGCGUAGAUAUCAGAAGGAACAUCAAUGGCGAAGGCAACUUUCUGGACCAAUACUGACGCUGAGGUACGAAAGCGUGGGUAGCAAACAGGAUUAGAUACCCUGGUAGUCCACGCCGUAAACGAUGAUAACUAGCCGUUGGGGGGAUUUACCCUUUAGUGGCGAAGCUAACGCGUUAAGUUAUCCGCCUGGGGAGUACGGCCGCAAGGUUAAAACUCAAAGGAAUUGACGG